CCUACGGGUGGCUGCAGUCGAGAAUCAUUCACAAUGGGGGAAACCCUGAUGGUGCGACGCCGCGUGGGGGAAUGAAGGUCUUCGGUUUGUAAACCCCCGUCAUGUGGGAGCAAAUUAAAAAGAUAGUACCACAAGAGGAAGAGACUGCUAACUUUGUGCCAGCAGCCGCGGUACUACGGAGGUGUCAAGCGUUGUUCGGAAUCACGGGGCGUAACGCGUGCGUAGGCUGUUUCGUAAGUCGUGUGUGAAAGGCGCGGGCUCAACCCGCGGACGGCAGAUGAUACUGCGAGACUAGAGUAGUGGAGGGGGAAGCGGAAUUCCCGGUGUAGCAGUGAAAUGCGUAGAUAUCGAGAGGAACACUCGUGGCGAAGGCGGGUUACUGGACAGUAACUGACGCUGAGGCACGAAGGCGAGGGGAGCGAAAGGGAUUAGAUACCCUUGUAGUC
Molecule: ribosomal RNA, 446 nt
Filed under: uncultured bacterium
Lineage: Bacteria
Description: partial 16S ribosomal RNA
Rfam family: Bacterial small subunit ribosomal RNA
Source: RNAcentral